RNAcentral lists this unclassified non-coding RNA (329 nucleotides) under soil metagenome. Its description in RNAcentral is "partial contains 5.8S ribosomal RNA, internal transcribed spacer 2, and large subunit ribosomal RNA". The stretch from base 1 to 120 matches the Rfam family "5.8S ribosomal RNA", at positions 35 to 154 of the family's 154-position model. The record is from RNAcentral.
GAUGAAGAACGUAGCGAAAUGCGAUAAGUAGUGUGAAUUGCAGAAUUCAGUGAAUCAUCGAAUCUUUGAACGCACAUUGCGCCCCUUGGUAUCCCGAGGGGCAUGCCUGUUCGAGCGUCAUUUCACCACUCAAGCCUGGCUUGGUGUUGGGCGACGUCCUCUUUGGGGACGCGCCUCGAAACGCUCGGCGGCGUGGCACCGGCUUUAAGCGUAGCAGAAUCUUUCGCUUUGGAAGUCGGGGCCCCGUCUGCCGGAAGACCUGCUCGCAAGGUUGACCUCGGAUCAGGCAGGGAUACCCGCUGAACUUAAGCAUAUCAAUAAGCGGAGUA